This is a long non-coding RNA of Bradysia coprophila, 1228 nucleotides long. RefSeq lists it as uncharacterized. Lineage: Eukaryota; Metazoa; Arthropoda; Insecta; Diptera; Sciaridae. The record is from RefSeq and is a predicted model, not a curated record.
CAAAAGGAUCAACCGUUCAUUGGGACGGUAAACUCAUGGAGAAUAUCACAAGCAAGGAAAAACUGGAUCGGCUGUCGGUCAAAAUAACUAAUGCGGGCAAAGACCAGUUGCUAGGAGCUCGAGAGCUGGGUGACGGAGCUCUUAGAAAACUGGGACCAGAUCGACAAAGUGGAAUGUUGCUGUUUCGACACAACAAGUUCAAAUACAGGAAGCUUUCAAGGAGCAGCGGUGCGGCUGGAACAACUGUUGGGAAGAAGUUUACUGUACCUUCCAUGUCGCCAUCAUAUAGCGGAGGUGAUUCUACGCGCCGUGUUUGAGUUAAAGGUAUACGGCACAACAGGCAAAGGACGUUCCUAUGUUUAAAACAUUUCAACAAGAUUGGAACAACAUCGAUCAGGAGUGAUACAUACCUGGCAUAAAAGAUCGUUAUGUCAGAAAACAGCUCGCCGGCGAAAAUUUAGAAGGCUUGAAAACGUUCAUCAAAAAACAAUUGGCGAAACCAAUUCGCAGGUAUGACUACAGAGAAUUCCUGGAGGUUAGUCUGUUGUUUCUCGGUGAGCAGAUACCCAAUUCCGAAAGUAGAGCGUCAAUAUUCCACCGACCAGGGGCAGUCCACCACGCUAGGUUGAUGGCAAAAGACAUUUAUACGUUGAAAAUGUUUUUUUUGAGAACAAAUUGAGCUGUCCGAAGAUCUGAAGGUUGGCAUGGCACUCUGUAUUUUUAUCAUUCGACAUUACUUGGCCUAUUGGUUUCGGUCUCCUCGCGCCAUAGAAACGCCGAUGCUGGACCUCGAAUUUAACCAAAAAAUCGAUCUGACAAGGUCAGUAGAUGAAGCUGUGACAGAUGAGGUCGUACGAAAAAUGGUCAAUCACUUAUGGUAUCUAACUGAAGAAGCCUUAGGAUUUGCAAUUUUCGACAAAAAAGUGUCAAUCCUCCAAAAGCGAAAGAUGGUGAAACGACUUCAAGUUGACCCGGAAAGAGAACCACUGAAAAGGGUCAUAGUCGAUUUGCAAAAUUUCCAUCAAGUGGUACAGAGCAGUCUCAGCGAUUUCGUGAAUUGUCAUACGCUCAAAUUUUUCGAACGCUUCUCAAUCGACACCGAAUUUUUGAGUCAUGAUCCUGCUUCAUGGAUGGACAGAGAUGACUUUAAAUCGGCUAGAGAAAAGUUGAAGUUGGUCAAGGUUGUCAAGGACACGGCAGAAAGAUUACAACAAAAAAAUUUCAAGAA